GCGUCGGUGGUUCAGUGGUAGAACACUCGCCUGCCACGCGGGUGGCCGGGGUUCGAUUCCCGGCCGACGCA
Molecule: transfer RNA, 71 nt
Filed under: Rhipicephalus sanguineus (brown dog tick)
Lineage: Eukaryota; Metazoa; Arthropoda; Arachnida; Ixodida; Ixodidae
Description: transfer RNA glycine (anticodon GCC)
Rfam family: tRNA
About the family: Transfer RNA (tRNA) molecules are approximately 80 nucleotides in length.
Source: Rfam by way of RNAcentral